GUCUACGGCCAUGCCACCCUGAAUGUGCCUGAUCUCGUCUGAUCUCAGAAGCUAAGUUGGUUAGUACUUGGAUGGGAGACCACCUAGGAAUUCCAGGUACCACAGGCA
Molecule: ribosomal RNA, 108 nt
Filed under: Pteropus alecto (black flying fox)
Lineage: Eukaryota; Metazoa; Chordata; Mammalia; Chiroptera; Pteropodidae
Source: RNAcentral